UACGAAGGGUGCAAACGUUGCUCGGAAUCAUUGGGCGUAAAGCGCACGUAGGCGGCUCCAAAAGUCGGAUGUGAAAUCCCUGGGCUCAACCGAGGAAGUGCAUCCGAAACUGCGGAGCUUGAGUAUGGAAGAGGGUCGCGGAAUUCCCGGUGUAGAGGUGAAAUUCGUAGAUAUCGGGAGGAACACCAGUGGCGAAGGCGGCGAUCUGGGCUGAUACUGACGCUGAGGUGCGAAAGCGUGGGGAGCAAACAGG
RNAcentral lists this ribosomal RNA (253 nucleotides) under uncultured bacterium. RNAcentral's name for it is "partial 16S ribosomal RNA". It matches the Rfam family "Bacterial small subunit ribosomal RNA", at positions 524 to 776 of the family's 1533-position model. The record is from RNAcentral.